GACAGCAGCAGCCGCGGUAAUACGUAGGGUGCAAGCGUUAAUCGGAAUUACUGGGCGUAAAGCGUGCGCAGGCGGUUGUGUAAGACAGGUGUGAAAUCCCCGGGCUUAACCUGGGAACUGCGCUUGUGACUGCACAGCUAGAGUAUGGCAGAGGGGGGUGGAAUUCCACGUGUAGCAGUGAAAUGCGUAGAGAUGUGGAGGAACACCGAUGGCGAAGGCAGCCCCCUGGGCCAAUACUGACGCUCAUGCACGAAAGCGUGGGGAGCAAACAGGAUUAGAUACCCGCGUAGUCCCUGUCUCUUAUAC
This 306-nucleotide ribosomal RNA is filed under the name uncultured bacterium. Its description in RNAcentral is "partial 16S ribosomal RNA". It matches the Rfam family "Bacterial small subunit ribosomal RNA", at positions 507 to 807 of the family's 1533-position model. The record is from RNAcentral.